AUUAUAAAUGCUUGAGGCAAAGCGGGGUUUGGGGUGGAGGCUGGCUGCUCGCGACCCCCCCCCCCAUGUAAUAACCUUGCAACUCCCUGAGGGGUCCCAACCCCCCAGUUUGAGAACUCCUGCCCUAGAAUAUCUGGGGACAAUGACCCAUUUCUUUGAGUCUCCUGACCUCCAUUUUGUGCUCUUCGUUUCAGCUCUUGCCUAUUUGCUAUUUGACGAAGAACUCUCAAUUGGUAGAGAUAUCUUUGCCAUCUUUGAGGAGAUGAACUGGCCUGCACCACACAGACAGUCCUCCACACUGAGAAGUCACUUCUACUACUGCUUCUCAUGAUUGGCACAGGAAGCCAGAAGGAAUUGGACAGUCUGUCUCCUGAAAAGGCUCUCCUCCUGCUUCUGUUGACCAGGGAACAACCACCAUGGAAUACCCGCACAUGGGGGAGUCAGCCCUGCCCCCUAUUAUAAUGCUGCCUCAUCACAGAAUGUAAAGCAAGAACAUCAGUGUACAACAGAAGGGGAUGGACUGUCAACUUGCCAGAAGGCUGGUAGCUGAAAUUUAAUUUAUAGAUAGCUAUUGUAUAACCUGUUUACCACAAGAUAAAAAUAAUCACAACAGAACAUGAAUAUAAUAGAAGAGAGACAGCAGACGUGGGUAUUCAAGAAAGACAGAGACGCAUUGACUGGAUGCUUCAAAUUCUAAAACCAAGAUACGUGACUUUCAAGGGAAAUGUGGAAGUGAGGAAAAAAUGGCUUAGGUAUGGAAAUUUAAAUUAAAUGUAAUGGAAAUACUAUAUUUCCAAGAUCAUUUAUACAAAUAUUUAAUUGGUAUUGCAGAAAAAUAGAGUGAAAUAACUGUCAUAGGUUUCAGAGUAGCAGCCGUGUUAGUCUGUAUUCGCAAAAAGAAAAGGAGUACUUGUGGCACCUUAGAGACUAACAAAUUUAUUUUAGUAACCUAUAUGAAGUCAAAUAGAAAUCAAUUAAAGUCCUUUCAGCAAGUUUCGAAGCCCGUUCUUGUUACACAGAAAUUAUAAGCCAUCUACACAGAUGUUACUCAUGAACUGUAACUGGUAAACCAUUAAAUACCAAGCCAGAACAGAACAUAUUACAUCCUCUCGUAAACAA
This is a long non-coding RNA of Chelonia mydas (Green sea turtle), 1119 nucleotides long. RefSeq lists it as uncharacterized. The record is from RefSeq and is a predicted model, not a curated record. NCBI's taxonomy places the organism in Eukaryota, Metazoa, Chordata, Testudines, Cheloniidae. The transcript has 4 exons.